Small nucleolar RNA from Drosophila melanogaster (fruit fly), 147 nucleotides. The record is from Ensembl. Lineage: Eukaryota; Metazoa; Arthropoda; Insecta; Diptera; Drosophilidae.
AAAUAAUGAUGAUAGACCUAUAUGCAUUUGAAGAGUUAAUCAAAACCUGUCGCGUCUUUGGUUUAGGUUUGGUAAAAGUUAAUAAACCAUCCUGAGCCACUUAUAGACAGUUCCUAAAAUGAUGUACCAAAAGUUUUCAAUCUGAUA